This 578-nucleotide ribosomal RNA is filed under the name uncultured bacterium. Its description in RNAcentral is "bacterial SSU rRNA". It matches the Rfam family "Bacterial small subunit ribosomal RNA", at positions 338 to 913 of the family's 1533-position model. The record is from RNAcentral.
CCUACGGGAGGCAGCAGUGGGGAAUAUUGGACAAUGGGCGAAAGCCUGAUCCAGCAAUUCCGCGUGUGUGAAGAAGGCCUUCGGGUUGUAAAGCACUUUAGUGGGGGAAGAAACAGCUUGGCCACACCAAGCCUUGACGGUACCCCAAGAAUAAGCACCGGCUAACUCUGUGCCAGCAGCCGCGGUAAUACAGAGGGUGCAAGCGUUAAUCGGAUUUACUGGGCGUAAAGGGUGCGUAGGUGGCUAUUUAAGUCGGAUGUGAAAGCCCGGGGCUCAACCUCGGAAUUGCAUUCGAUACUGAGUGGCUAGAGUUCGGUAGAGGGCGGCGGAAUUUCCGGUGUAGCGGUGAAAUGCGUAGAUAUCGGAAGGAACAUCAAUGGCGAAGGCAGCCGCCUGGGCCUGGACUGACACUGAGGCACGAAAGCGUGGGUAGCAAACAGGAUUAGAUACCCUGGUAGUCCACGCCGUAAACGAUGAGAACUUGACGUUGGUUCGUUUUACGAAUCGGUGUCGCAGCUAACGCGAUAAGUUCUCCGCCUGGGGAGUACGGCCGCAAGGUUGAAACUCAAAUGAAUUGA